RNAcentral lists this non-coding RNA (715 nucleotides) under synthetic construct. The record is from RNAcentral.
AUGUGGGCAUGCUCACACGAGCAACUUUCCUGGAGCAGUGGCCGGGUGCCAAAGUGACUGUCAUGAUUCCCUACUCCUCCACCUUUACCUGGUGUGGAGAGCUUGGCGCCAUCUCUGAAGAAUCUGCCCCACAACCAAGUUUGAGUGCCAGAUCCCCGGUCUGUAAGAACAGUGCCAGAUAUUCUACCUCAAAAUUUUGCGAGGUAGAUGGAUGCACAGCUGAAACUGGCAUGGAAAAGAUGUCUCUGCUCACUCCAUUUGGAGGCCCACCUCAACAGGCUAAGAUGAACACUUGCCCAUGCUACUACAAGUACAGCGUGAGCCCACUGCCUGCCAUGGACCACUUGAUCCUAGCUGACCUAGCUGGCCUGGAUUCUCUCACUUCACCUGUUUAUGUGAUGGCAGCAUAUUUUGAUUCUACACAUGAAAAUCCUGUGAGACCAUCCAGCAAGCUUUAUCAUUGUGCUCUACAGAUGACAAGUCAUGAUGGGGUGUGGACUUCAACUUCCAGUGAGCAGUGUCCCAUUAGACUGGUUGAGGGCCAGUCUCAAAAUGUGCUGCAGGUCCGGGUGGCUCCGACAUCGAUGCCUAACCUGGUUGGGGUCAGCUUGAUGUUGGAGGGGCAACAGUACAGGCUGGAGUAUUUUGGGGAUCAUUGAUACUCAGUAACUUAAGAGGAAAUUUUUUUGUUAAAAAUAAAGUUAUUUUUAAAAAA